Molecule: long non-coding RNA, 257 nt
Organism: Eurytemora carolleeae
Lineage: Eukaryota; Metazoa; Arthropoda; Copepoda; Calanoida; Temoridae
Exons: 3
Source: RefSeq, a predicted model, not a curated record
UUGGAAAUCAAACCUGGUUCAGAUUGUAGGAUACCAACAGUUUAGGUACACUUUGUAUCUACAGUAUGAUAGUGUUCACAAGACUUGCUAAGAAUCAGCUUCUAUUAGUACCCUGAGCAUCGUAGUAUAUAAACAUCCUGAUGAAAUAAACUGUUUCUUCAACCCGUUCUUUAUCUACUCUGCUGGGCACCUUGUGAUACAUUGCAAAAAUUUUGGUUAAGUGAGUAAAUAGACUGAAACCUGACUCUGAAAGAAGA